GAUUCGCAUUCACUUACUAUCGCAUCGUGCUUUUAUCGAGCAGACCCAAGCUCCGUGUGAAGUUUGAUUCAUUUGAACUUUUGCUAAGCUGUCACACUAGUCCCCAAGGACUACAGAAAGAGUUCCGUUCGUUCGCGCCUGGUGCCUGGUCUGGGACUCACACCCAGCGGACGUCGCCGAGGCGAACAGACAGUUAACGUUCACAACAGUGGGUUGAGAGGUGAACCCGGGAAAAAUCCCUUCUGUAGGGGUACCUGCGGAGGGAUCAUUACCGAGUUGCUACUGGCUCGUCCAAACCCAAUGUGAACGUUACCAAACUGUUGCCUCGGCGGGGUCACGCCCCGGGUGCGUCGCAGCCCCGGAACCAGGCGCCCGCCGGAGGAACCAACCAAACUCUUUCUGUAGUCCCCUCGCGGACGUAUUUCUUACAGCUCUGAGCAAAAAUUCAAAAUGAAUCAAAACUUUCAACAACGGAUCUCUUGGUUCUGGCAUCGAUGAAGAACGCAGCGAAAUGCGAUAAGUAAUGUGAAUUGCAGAAUUCAGUGAAUCAUCGAAUCUUUGAACGCACAUUGCGCCCGCCAGUAUUCUGGCGGGCAUGCCUGUCCGAGCGUCAUUUCAACCCUCGAACCCCUCCGGGGGAUCGGCGUUGGGGAUCGGGACCCCUCACACGGGUGCCGGCCCCUAAAUACAGUGGCGGUCUCGCCGCAGCCUCUCCUGCGCAGUAGUUUGCACAACUCGCACCGGGAGCGCGGCGCGUCCACGUCCGUAAAACACCCAACUUUCUGAAAUGUUGACCUCGGAUCAGGUAGCUGACAGCACUCCCCGCUGAACUUAAGCAUAUCAAAAGCCGGAGGAAA
This 857-nucleotide ribosomal RNA is filed under the name Trichoderma asperellum. RNAcentral describes it as "eukaryotic LSU rRNA". The stretch from base 460 to 613 matches the Rfam family "5.8S ribosomal RNA". Lineage: Eukaryota; Fungi; Ascomycota; Sordariomycetes; Hypocreales; Hypocreaceae. The record is from RNAcentral.